Molecule: long non-coding RNA, 1187 nt
Filed under: Homo sapiens (human)
Lineage: Eukaryota; Metazoa; Chordata; Mammalia; Primates; Hominidae
Description: HSALNT0400563
Source: RNAcentral
GGCUUGGGCUGGUGACGCGUGCGCCGGCCGGCCGCCGAGGGGCUACCGUUCUGCCUCCGACCGGUCGUGUGUGGGUUUACUCGGAGAAAUACUAGGCUUUAGAAUUUCACCAUAUGAAUUUUGGGAGAGAGGAGCACAGUUCAGCCCAUAACUAACACACGACGGAAUGAAGUUGAUAAUAGUGAGACCUUGUUGGUACAAGACUAUGUAACAUAACCUGCGCUUCUCAACAAAGAAUUGCUUUUCUGACUUCUGCACUCAAUAGCAAGACAAAUCUCUCCUCUGCCUUCUCCUUAUCAGACUACUCAACAUGAAGGCAAUAAGAAUGAAGACCUCUAUGUAUAAUAAUUGACUUCCACUUAAUAAAUAAGGUUACUUGGUACACUGGUCGACAAAACCUUGAAAUGUUGAUGUUUAAGGGCUGUUGAUUGCUGGCAGCAAAGAAGUCCAACUGUGCUGGUACCCGAGAUAGCGUCUCCACAUUUUCUUCCAGGAUCAUCACCUUUGUUCUAAAUAGCUCCCACAUAGUGUGAACAGAAGUCAUAUGUUUUAGAUUUUCUGCCUUGGCACCCAGGAAACCAGUAUGAUUGAGUAAACAUAUUAAACUUCCUCUGCAUUUCCAGCCUGAACAGAUGUUGAGUACAAGCUGAUCCACCUACGUUCAACCUGAGAGAGUCCACAUCCACAGACUGUUUCAUUUCCCUUUUUCAAUUUACAUAGAAGCAUAGAUUCUUGCUGGCAUAUACAAAUGCGCCAUUUAAGGCAAUCAAAAAUGGUUCCACAUCUCAUCUGAUUUCCACAAUUGUUGCUGUAACGAUGGACUACUGAGGAGAGAGACAAUUUCUCUGGCACAUCUUCCCACAUUUUAGCAACAUGUUCAUGGAGAGCCAAUAUUCAGUAAUUACAGCCCAAUUCCUCACAAUUUCACAAUUCGCUAACAAUAUGCAUUUUCACAAUGUAAAGCUGAUUUUCCUUUAACCAAAUCAAACAUGAAAAGAUAGCUGCAUGCAAUGGGCAAUCUAGAUCAUUAGAAGAUUGAUGUAAAAUUAGAGGACACUGAGACUGGAAUAGAUUGCAAACUUCAGGGAGCUCAGAAAACUUGUAAACUCUACAUUUUGAGGAAAUAUGUUGUCGAUGCUUUUGCAACUCUAUGCAGUAACUUAACAAAUAAAGCCUUAAAGUAACUU